This 1140-nucleotide long non-coding RNA is filed under the name Cyanistes caeruleus (blue tit). RNAcentral describes it as "lncRNA (ENSCCEG00000008858.1)". Lineage: Eukaryota; Metazoa; Chordata; Aves; Passeriformes; Paridae. The record is from RNAcentral.
ACAAGCGAGCCCUGUUCAUCAUCUGCACCUCGGAGCUGGGACCCCAAAUCUACGAGCUGGUGGCGCUGACGAACUCGGAGAGGAACACGUGAGCCAAAAUCCCGGGAAAAAAACCCGGGAAGGGCCGGAAAAAAACUGGGAAUGAGCCAGAAAAUUCCUGGGAAUGAGCCGGAAAAAACCCGGGAAUGAGCCGGAAAAAACCCGGGAAGGGCCGGAAAGAAACCGGGAAGGGCUGGAAAAUUCCUGGGGGAGCAAAAAUCCUUGGGAUGAGCCCAAAAAUCCCCGGGAAGGGCUGGAAAAUUCCCGGGAAGGGCUGGAAAAUUCUUGGGAAGGGCUGGAAAAUUCCUGGGAAAGGCUGGAAAAUUCCUGGGAAAGGCUGGAAAAUCCUUGGGGGACAAAAUCCCCAGGAAAGGCUGGAAAAUCCCUGGGAAGGGCUGGAAAAUUCCUGGGGGAGCAAAAAUCCUUGGGAUGAGCCCAAAAAUUCGCUGGGAAAGGCUGGAAAAUCCCCGGGAAAGGCUGGAAAAUUCCUGGGAAGGGCUGGAAAAUUCCUGGGAAGGGCUGGAAAAUCCCCAGGGAAGGCUGGAAAAUUCCCUGGGAAGGGCCGGAAUUCUCGUCUGGAAUUCUUGGGCUGGAGUUCCUGGCUGGAAUUUCCAGGCCAGAAUUCCCGCUGGGAAUCGUUCCCGUUGGGAAUUCGGGAUUAUUCCAGUUGGGAAUUCGGGAUUGUUCCCAUUGGGAAUUUGGGAUUAUUCCAGUUGGGAAUUCGGGAUUGUUCCCAUUGGGAAUUUGGAAUUGUUCCCGUUGGGAAUUCAGGAUUAUUCCCAUUGGGAAUUUGGGAUUAUUCCCGUUGGGAAUUUGGGAUUAUUCCCGUUGGGAAUUCGGGAUUGUUCCCAUUGGGAAUUUGGAAUUGUUCCCGUUGGGAAUUCAGGAUUAUUCCCAUUGGGAAUUUGGGAUUAUUCCCGUUGGGAUUUGGGAUUGUUCCCGUUGGGAAUUCAGGAUUAUUCCCAUUGGGAAUUUGGAAUUAUUCCCAUUGGGAAUUAUUCCCAUUAUUCCCGUUUGGAUUCACAGGUGGCUGGAGCUGCUGGAGCUCCCGUUGGGGAUUGUUCCCGUUGGGAAUUCGGGAUUAUUCCCAUUGAGAAUUGU